This 407-nucleotide transfer-messenger RNA is filed under the name Flavobacteriaceae bacterium. It matches the Rfam family "transfer-messenger RNA". From Rfam's summary of the family: Bacterial tmRNA, also known as 10Sa RNA or SsrA, is named for its dual tRNA and mRNA-like properties. Its role is to liberate the mRNA from a stalled ribosome. Lineage: Bacteria; Pseudomonadati; Bacteroidota; Flavobacteriia; Flavobacteriales; Flavobacteriaceae. The record is from RNAcentral. RNAcentral also lists the same sequence under 1 other name.
GGGGCUGACAUGGAUUCGACUACAAGAACAGUGGGCAAGUAAGCAUGUGGUACUAUGUUUCCUACGUACCUUAAAAAGUGGAUUCAACCUAUUUAACUGGCGAGAAUAACUACGCCUUAGCUGCCUAAUUUUUACCCGAAUUAUAGUAAGGUAUUGGCGCAUCUGUACUAGGUACAGAAGCUAAGUAUCUCUCAGGGGCUCGGUUUCGCGGCGCCUGAUUCAGAGGUAUAGAAAUGCGAAAAUAAGCUUUCGAAGGCUUCGGUCGAAAGUCGAAAAAACAUAGAAGAUAAGUUUUGUCUUGGGCGUUUGCUCUCUGGGCAAAAUCGAAAAUCAAAAGCAAAAUAAACAUGUAGAAAGUUUGUUUAUUGCUUGUUAGGACGUGGGUUCGAUUCCCACCAGCUCCACUU